CUUUGCUGCUUUGCUGACGAGUGGUGGACGGGUGAGUAAUGCCUGGGAAACUGCCUGAUGGAGGGGGAUAACGUACUGGAAACGGUAGCUAAUACCGCAUAACGUCGCAAGACCAAAGAGGGGGAACCUUCGGGGCCUCUUGCCAUCAGAUGUGCCCAGAUGGGAUUAGCUAGUAGGUGGGGUAACGGCUCACCUAGGCGACGAUCCCUAGCUGGUCUGAGAGGAUGACCAGCCACAAUGGGACUGAGACACGGCCCAUACUCC
This 264-nucleotide ribosomal RNA is filed under the name uncultured Enterobacteriaceae bacterium. Its description in RNAcentral is "partial 16S ribosomal RNA". It matches the Rfam family "Bacterial small subunit ribosomal RNA", at positions 73 to 339 of the family's 1533-position model. The record is from RNAcentral. Lineage: Bacteria; Pseudomonadati; Pseudomonadota; Gammaproteobacteria; Enterobacterales; Enterobacteriaceae.